GUCCAAUAGUCAUAAAACGUUUUACUGGUUUGUUUGGUUUCCUGAUGUCUUUAAUCCAGGAACAUUAUCCAGAACUGGACCCAGUUUGUGAGCAGAAGCUUGAGGAGAGCGCCGACGUGUCGGGACUCUGCGCCCGGAUCAGCUGAGCUGUUUAAGGUUUUAGAACCGGUUUCUCUCUGGUUCUGGAGCGAUCCGGUUCUCUAAUGAGAUGCUGUUUGCUGUGGGAGGAGAGCAGCAGGUAAUUCCCAGCUGGAUUACCUAGACCAGGAAUAAAGUCGAUAAUCUGAUCAUCAGCUGAUUCCCCGGGAAGAGGACGAUGCGUUUCUCGGCAUGUAGGGGAAACGUGUUGGGAGUCAGAGCAUCUAUUCCAGCCGCACCAACAACAUCUAAUUGAAUCUAAUUUGGACAAUUAAAGUGAAAUUGGUCCAGCA
This is a long non-coding RNA of Poecilia latipinna (sailfin molly), 431 nucleotides long. RefSeq lists it as uncharacterized. The transcript has 2 exons. The record is from RefSeq and is a predicted model, not a curated record. NCBI's taxonomy places the organism in Eukaryota, Metazoa, Chordata, Actinopteri, Cyprinodontiformes, Poeciliidae.